Molecule: long non-coding RNA, 888 nt
Filed under: Durio zibethinus
Lineage: Eukaryota; Viridiplantae; Streptophyta; Magnoliopsida; Malvales; Malvaceae
Description: long non-coding RNA (DZIB_LNC002055)
Source: RNAcentral
CUGAAUGAGAUGCACCUGGAUAACCAGAUGGAGGGUAUGCACUAGGAGGAUACCCAGCUGGUGGGUAGCCUUGAGGUGGAUAACCAUGAGGGGGGUACCCUCCAGCAGGUGGAUACCCUCCAGGGGGUGGAUACCCCCCAGGAGGUGGAGGGUAUGCACCAGGUGGGUAUCCUCCAUGACCAUGACCAUGACCAUGACCAUGGUGUGAAAAGAGGCCCUUUUCGUCAUGCUUAUGCUUGUCCUUUCCCAUGUUUUCUCAACCGAGAACCAGUCCUGUGACACCAAUAUCAAGAACAUUUGGUGAGAAGAAAAAUGUUUUCUGAUUCUUUUGAAAAAGAAGACACAAGACUUUUUAUCCAAAUAAGAACAAGGAAAAACAUAAUCAUAAACAUUGGAAGAUAAAUCCUGGAUUAUGCAAUAAGUAAACAAGUCACAAACACUAAUAUGGAGAAAAACAUGCAUGUUAGGACUCAAGAACAAAUCCAUAACGGCACCAAUUUAUUCCAGCAAACAAGAAAUUACAAAAAUUUCAAGAAAUAGUUCAAUAUCAACAAAUUGCCCAAAGCCAAAAAUCGCCACUUUAAUCCAAUCAACAACUAGAUAAGCAGCAAGGGUUUCAAUUGGAAGCGAUAACGCAAAAAUUCCCCAAAGAGUUGAUGGGAAAACUUGUGAAAUUAAAAAUAAUUUUGAGAUCUUAAGAAAACAAAACCAUUUUUUGGGAAGUUUCCAAUUUUCGAUAAGAUUAAAGGGACGGGGACAUCAAACACAAGCGAUCACAAAACACGUUGUCUGAAACCUAGUCAAAACAACAAUAUAUACAACUAAAUAAAAGAAGAACAUCUUCGAGAGAAAAAAGCAAAAAGACAAGAUAAAAAGGGAUGAGAGAUC